Molecule: ribosomal RNA, 253 nt
Filed under: uncultured bacterium
Lineage: Bacteria
Description: partial 16S ribosomal RNA
Rfam family: Bacterial small subunit ribosomal RNA
Source: RNAcentral
UACGUAGGGUGCAGGCGUUAAUCGGAAUUACUGGGCGUAAAGCGUGCGCAGGCGGUUUCUUAAGUCAGAUGUGAAAGCCCCGGGCUUAACCUGGGAACUGCGUUUGAAACUGGGAGACUUGAGUGUGGCAGAGGGGGGUGGAAUUCCACGUGUAGCAGUGAAAUGCGUAGAUAUGUGGAGGAACACCAAUGGCGAAGGCAAUCCCCUGGGCCUGCACUGACGCUCAUGCACGAAAGCGUGGGGAGCAAACAGG